Molecule: long non-coding RNA, 761 nt
Organism: Nerophis ophidion (straightnose pipefish)
Lineage: Eukaryota; Metazoa; Chordata; Actinopteri; Syngnathiformes; Syngnathidae
Exons: 3
Source: RefSeq, a predicted model, not a curated record
GGCCACUCCUGCUCUAUGCCGCCCAUUUCUUCUUCUCUGUCCUGUUGACCUUUCCAUUUCCUGUGUCCUCCCUCUAUCUGCAAUGCAGCAGAUAUUCAUAGAGAGGAAUGAAGGGUGGGAAACCAACCGUCCCUUGACAGUACCCCCUCCCUCACCUUCUGCGGUGACCACAGGAUGUGGCCAGGCUGGUCGCAUGGUACUGUUCUAACAAACACCAAUUAAAGCGGAUUUUCUUGGUGAAGCUUUACUAUGGAUCAGAGCGGUCAAGCGAACUGGGUUCCCUACUACAUGUCAACCAGCAGGUUUCGGUGAGAAAUUUGUGGUAAAAAGUCGCCUCUUACCGGAGAUCAGAGGAGAUCAGCGGAGAUCAGCGGAGAUCAGCGGAGAUCAGCGGAGCUUGCGCCGUCCAUGCAGCUGGCGUGACUUCCCUCAGAGACUGGAGUCAACACACCUGUGGACACACCCCUCUGACUAUCAGUGUCUGUGUCCAGGAACGGCCUGCUGACUGCCAAGGCCGAAAUCCGCCGGGACGCAGACAGAGCAGCGAGACAAGGCGAUAUCUCCAUCGUCAACAUAUUUGCAUUUUUGUAUAAUCAUAUAUUGUUUCUAACUGGAGUUGUCGAGAUUACCCUCUUCCCUCAGCGACAGCUCCAGUGAUGUAAACAGGGACCUCCCAAAUAAAUAGAGGAAGCAUGCGGGCUAGACUUUUAGAACGUGAUUUGGAUCUGUAACUAGAAUUCAGCCAAAAGACAUGUCUCCUC